AGUGAACGCUGGCGGUAGGCAUAACACAUGCAAGUCGAACGGCAGCACAGUAAGAGCUUGCUCUUACGGGUGGCGAGUGGCGGACGGGUGAGGAAUACAUCGGAAUCUACUUUUUCGUGGGGGAUAACGUAGGGAAACUUACGCUAAUACCGCAUACGACCUACGGGUGAAAGCAGGGGAUCUUCGGACCUUGCGCGAUUGAAUGAGCCGAUGUCGGAUUAGCUAGUUGGCGGGGUAAAGGCCCACCAAGGCGACGAUCCGUAGCUGGUCUGAGAGGAUGAUCAGCCACACUGGAACUGAGACACAGUCCAGACUCCUACGGGAGGCAGCAGUGGGGAAUAUUGGACAAUGGGCGCAAGCCUGAUCCAGCCAUACCGCGUGGGUGAAGAAGGCCUUCGGGUUGUAAAGCCCUUUUGUUGGGAAAGAAAAGCAGCAGGUUAAUACCCCGCUGUUCUGACGGUACCAAAAGAAUAAGCACCGGCUAACUUCGUG
Molecule: ribosomal RNA, 492 nt
Filed under: uncultured bacterium
Lineage: Bacteria
Description: partial 16S ribosomal RNA
Rfam family: Bacterial small subunit ribosomal RNA
Source: RNAcentral